Molecule: long non-coding RNA, 1004 nt
Organism: Clupea harengus (Atlantic herring)
Lineage: Eukaryota; Metazoa; Chordata; Actinopteri; Clupeiformes; Clupeidae
Source: Ensembl
CUUUUAAAAACUGUAGUGUUGCGGAGACACGUGUACACAUGCACUACUAUCUGUACACAGCAAACGCCUCAACUCGAAAUGAACGGAGCCCUUUGUAAAUGAAACAAAACAAGAACAACAAAAACACAACAAGUCAUUUUCAACGCGAGGAGCAUUGUUAAUUUUGUUUGGUGUAUUAGACAUUUCCCUCCUUAAAUCUUAAAAAGGCACUGACGCGCCCUUCACAAGAAACAUUUCCUUUUUUUUGUAAGGUUUCUCUCUUUUUUUUUUCCUUUUCUCUCUGUUCCUCUAAUGCUUUUCAAAAACACUGUUCGACUGUUCAGAUCCAGUCUGCACCAGUACACAAGAAAUACAGACCGCUGAAAAGACGCGCACACACACACACACACACACACACACACACACGAGGACAGGAAAAGAAAAACAUGCGCAAGACAAACUGUACAGGAACUGGAAGUGUGGGGUAUGAGGGAAGUGGACGGUGCAGAGAGGAGCUGUGUAGUGUGUGUAUGUGUGUGUGUGUGUGUGUGUGUGUGUGUGUCAGUGGGGUGGCAAUAUCAUGUGGGAUUUAAGUCAUGAUACACUGGGAGGCUGGAAGGUGUUUGCAUGUGGUCGAUUGCAUUCGUCUGGCAUCAAGCCACAUACUGUACUCCAGUGGCCACCAUUGGGCUCUUGCAGUGAGUGCACUGCAUUCCACCCUUUUCAAUGGCUCUACUUUCAAACGAGCACAAACACAGACAGCCAAAAGCAGAUGUGCCACACAAGUCUCUCGUCCCCAUACGGUUAAGAUCACAAAGACCUUUUCACAUCAUACAAUCCAGGACGAGUCACUGGCAAGUGCUAUGACCGAUUACUAUGGGUUAGAAGAACAAGUUAAGUGUCACUUAACUCAACAUGAGGAUAUGAAAAAGUCUGACAGCAGAAAUAUGCGGGGUGUGCGUCUGUACGACACAGACGUACGUAGGUUCUCACCCAUUCAUGGUGGGGAAGGAGGUAAGAGACAC